Molecule: non-coding RNA, 30 nt
Filed under: Mus musculus (house mouse)
Lineage: Eukaryota; Metazoa; Chordata; Mammalia; Rodentia; Muridae
Source: RNAcentral
UGCCACUCUCAUCUUUAAUGUACCUAGAUC